AAGUCGUAACAAGGUAACCGUAGGUGAACCUGCGGUUGGAUCAUUAGUGGUUUUUACGUAGCGCUGUUGUAGUGUUUCUGGGGGGUGUUGGUCUUUGGUUUUGUGUGUUUGUCUGUUUUUGUCUUUUUGUUUGUCUGUUUUUGUGCAUUGGCUUGUGCUGCCUUGUGCUGCCUUGUGCGUUGCCGUGGCAGUACAAACGGAUCGACGGCAACACUCGGACCAGACCGAAGAACCCUUGCAGACAAUAGACGUCUUUGCUUGCUUUGAUGAAACCAAAUCAAAAACAACUUUUGACAACGGAUCUCUUGGCUCUC
RNAcentral lists this unclassified non-coding RNA (314 nucleotides) under fungal sp. Its description in RNAcentral is "partial internal transcribed spacer region". The stretch from base 1 to 46 matches the Rfam family "Eukaryotic small subunit ribosomal RNA", at positions 1786 to 1831 of the family's 1831-position model. Lineage: Eukaryota; Fungi. The record is from RNAcentral.